This 534-nucleotide ribosomal RNA is filed under the name Triticum aestivum (bread wheat). RNAcentral describes it as "partial small subunit ribosomal RNA". The record is from RNAcentral. Lineage: Eukaryota; Viridiplantae; Streptophyta; Magnoliopsida; Poales; Poaceae.
AUGGCGAAAAAGGCUGCAAAGCGAGCUGUUGGUGAAGCAAGGGGUCGGGCAUAUGAAGACCUCUACCAACGGUUAGGCACGAAGGAAGGCGAAAGGGACAUCUAUAAGAUGGCCAAGAUCCGAGAGAGGAAGACGAGGGACAUUGGCCAAGUCAAAUGCAUCAAGGACGGAGCAGGCCAACUCUUGGUGAAGGACGAGGAGAUUAAGCAUAGAUGGCGGGAGUACUUCGACAAGCUGUUCAAUGGGGAGAAUGAGAGUUCUACCAUUGAACUGGACGACUCCUUUGAUGAGACCAGCAUGCGUUUUGUGCGGCGAAUCCAGGAGUCUAAGGUCAAGGAGGCUUUAAAAAGGAUGAAAGGAGGCAAGGCGAUGGGCCCUGAUUGUAUCCCCAUUGAAGUGUGGAAAGGUCUCGGGGACAUAGCGAUAGUAUGGCUAACCAAGCUUUUCAAUCUCAUUUUUCGGGCAAACAAGAUGCCAGAAGAAUGGAGACGGAGUAUAUUAGUACCAAUCUUCAAGAACAAGGGGGAUGUUUAG